ACACUAAUUGUUGAAACUUUGUAGGUGGAAUUCUUUCACAUUCUUGCUUGAUGUACAGCUUCAGAUGAUCAACAGUCUGGGAUCUCCGUUGUCGUAUUUCAAGCUUCAUAAUGUGGCACACUUUUUCAGU
This is a long non-coding RNA of Hippocampus comes (tiger tail seahorse), 130 nucleotides long. RefSeq lists it as uncharacterized. The transcript is spliced from 3 exons. Lineage: Eukaryota; Metazoa; Chordata; Actinopteri; Syngnathiformes; Syngnathidae. The record is from RefSeq and is a predicted model, not a curated record.